AGUGGCGGACGGGUGAGUAACACGUAAGAAUUUGCCUUUAGGAGGGGGACAACAAUUGGAAACGAUUGCUAAUACCCCAUAUGCUUUCGAGUGAAAUGGAUUUUUCCGCCUAAAGAGAAGCUUGCGGCUGAUUAGCUUGUUGGUAAGGUAAUGGCUUACCAAGGCGACGAUCAGUAUCUGGUUUGAGAGGACGAUCAGACACACUGGAACUGAGACACGGUCCAGACUCCUACGGGAGGCAGCAGUGGGGAAUUUUCCGCAAUGGGCGAAAGCCUGACGGAGCAAUCUCGCGUGAGGGAUGACGGCCUAUGGGUUGUAAACCUCUUUUUUCAGGGAGGAAUAAAAUGACGUGUACCUGAAGAAUAAGCAUCGGCUAACUCCGUGCCAGCAGCCGCGGUAAGACGGAGGAUGCAAGUGUUAUCCGGAAUCACUGGGCGUAAAGCGUCUGUAGGUGGUUUAAUAAGUCAACUGUUAAAUCUUGAGGCUCAACCUCAAAAUCGCAGUCGAAACUAUUAGACUAGAGUAUAGUAGGGGUAAAAGGAAAUUUCCAGUGGAGCGGUGAAAUGCGUAGAGAUUGGAAAGAACACCGAUGGCGAAGGCACUUUACUGGGCUAUUACUAACACUCAGAGACGAAAGCUAGGGUAGCAAAUGGGAUUAGAUACCCCAGUAGUCCUAGCCGUAAACGAUGGAUACUAGAUGUUGAACAGAUCGACCUGUGCAGUAUUAAAGCUAACGCGUUAA
Molecule: ribosomal RNA, 742 nt
Filed under: uncultured bacterium
Lineage: Bacteria
Description: bacterial SSU rRNA
Rfam family: Bacterial small subunit ribosomal RNA
Source: RNAcentral